Ictidomys tridecemlineatus (thirteen-lined ground squirrel) is the source of this 1085-nucleotide non-coding RNA. NCBI's taxonomy places the organism in Eukaryota, Metazoa, Chordata, Mammalia, Rodentia, Sciuridae. The record is from RefSeq and is a predicted model, not a curated record.
CAAGCAAGGGGGCCAAUACCAGAGGCCAAACAGAUGGGACUAUUCCAUCAUGGACCUUCAGAAUCACAAACUGAGCUAAGUAAAUCUUUUCUUUAUAAACCACCUAGUGUCAGGUCAAUUCUAUAUUGUUUGAAAAGGAAAGAAUAAUAAUACAGUAAUCCAAAGUGUAUAAAAAUGAGAAUGAAUGAACAAUGAAAUAAAAAAAUAGCUUGCCAUGUUCAAAGACUUCAUUUUAAGGGGACUCUUUUGUUAUUGUCUGUAGGCUUUCAAAUUAGCCUUGUUUGUACUUGCAUAACCACAUUAAGACCUUAUAAUUUAUAGUUAAUUUAUAUUUUUAAAAAUUUGAAAUUCUUCUCUAUUAUGAAAUAAUUUCUAAAGUAUUGUUAGUUAGUGCUACUUAUUUUUGAAGGAAAUGUUUAAAAUCCAUUAUAUUCUAACUGAUUACAUAGUUUCCCUUUGUCUGUGGUUCUAUGUUACCAACCAAUUUUCAGUUGACCAUAAUCAACAGCAGUCUAAAAAUCUUAAAAAGGGAAAUUCCCAGAAAUAAAUAGUUCAUAAGUUUCUAAAUGCACAUUUUUCUAAGUAGUAUGAUGAAAUCUUGCCAUUCUACUUUGUCCUGACUAAGAGGUGUUUCAUUCAUUUAUCUACAUCUUGCAGAUUCUUCUGACCCACUAUUCACUUACUAGCUUUCUCUGAUAUCAAAUUAUGUAUAUCACAGUGCUUGUGUUCAAGUAAGUCUUAUUAAUAGCAUAAUGAUAUACCACAGCACAAAUAUCAUUCACUUCACUAUCUCAUCACACAGGCCUUAAUAUACAGGACGGUGGACAUACAUUUUUCUUUGGAAUGAUGUAUCAUUUCACAUCUUCACUAGAUAAAGGCAUAAACAGAAGAGAUAAUGUGAAGGAAAACAGAUAACGACAGUCCAGAAGAAGACACUAAACAGAGAGCAACCCUUCAGCAACCUUGAUCUUAGACUUCCAAACUCAACUACCUACCAUGAGAAAAUAAGUUACUGUAUUUUAUGCCACUCAGAUCAUGAUAUUUUGUUUUGGCAGCCUAAACAAAUAAAUAUAAUUUUAAAGAUA